GUGGAGUUUAAAUUCAAGUUGGUUCCAAUCCUUUGUAUAUGAGCCCAGAAGAGUGAGCUGCAGGGGAUGCUGCAGCUUUGCAGGUUCCCCCAAACUGUAGAACUUCAUACAUACAUCAAAAGGAGUUGCCUUGGAAACAAAACCUCUGAACCUUCAAUUAAUCUCAGAGGAGCAGAAGGUCACCUACCCAGUCAGCAGAGCUGUGUGCCAGGUAUUCUAUAA
This 222-nucleotide long non-coding RNA is filed under the name Coturnix japonica (Japanese quail). RNAcentral describes it as "lncRNA (ENSCJPG00005011463.1)". The record is from RNAcentral. Lineage: Eukaryota; Metazoa; Chordata; Aves; Galliformes; Phasianidae.